CCUACGGUGCGCAGCAGUAGGGAAUAUUGCUCAAUGGGGGAAACCCUGAAGCAGCAACGCCGCGUGGAGGAUGAAGGUUUUCGGAUUGUAAACUCCUUUUGUUAGAGAAGAUAAUGACGGUAUCUAACGAAUAAGCACCGGCUAACUCCGUGCCAGCAGCCGCAGUAAUACGGAGGGUGCAAGCGUUACUCGGAAUCACUGGGCGUAAAGAGCGCGUAGGCGGGAUAGCAAGUCAGAUGUGAAAUCCUAUGGCUUAACCAUAGAACUGCAUUUGAAACUGUUAUUAUAGCGUAUGGGAGAGGUAGGUGGAAUUCUUGGUGUAGGGGUAAAAUCCGUAGAGAUCAAGAGGAAUACUCAUUGCGAAGGCGACCUGCUAGAACAUAACUGACGCUGAUGCGCGAAAGCGUGGGGAGCAAACAGGAUUAGAUACCCUAGUAGUC
RNAcentral lists this ribosomal RNA (440 nucleotides) under uncultured bacterium. RNAcentral's name for it is "partial 16S ribosomal RNA". It matches the Rfam family "Bacterial small subunit ribosomal RNA", at positions 338 to 795 of the family's 1533-position model. The record is from RNAcentral.